Molecule: ribosomal RNA, 310 nt
Filed under: uncultured eukaryote
Lineage: Eukaryota
Description: partial 18S ribosomal RNA
Rfam family: Eukaryotic small subunit ribosomal RNA
Source: RNAcentral
CCCUUAGAUGUUCUGGGCGGCCCGCGCACUACAAUGGCGCUUUCAGCGAGUUCCUAUGUUGAAUUUUCCUUGGUAUUCUUGGAAGCGGCGUCUUGACUUGGGAUAGAUCCUUGUAAUUGUUGGUUUUGAACGAGGAAUUCCUUGUAAUCGCGGUUGAUCAGCUCGCGUUGAAUACGUCCCUGCCCUUUGUACACACCGCCCGUCGCUCCUACCGAUGAAUCGUCCGGUGAAGUUCACAGAGUGGCGGUUCGUGGAGUUGCUCGCGAAGUGAAAUGGACCUCACGAUUUAGAGGAAGUAAAAGUCGUAACA